Molecule: ribosomal RNA, 460 nt
Filed under: uncultured bacterium
Lineage: Bacteria
Description: partial 16S ribosomal RNA
Rfam family: Bacterial small subunit ribosomal RNA
Source: RNAcentral
CCUACGGGGGGCAGCAGUGAGGAAUAUUGGUCAAUGGACGAGAGUCUGAACCAGCCAAGUAGCGUGAAGGAUGACUGUCCUAUGGGUUGUAAACUUCUUUUAUAUGGGAAUAAAAUGUUCCACGUGUGGGAUUUUGUAUGUACCAUAUGAAUAAGGAUCGGCUAACUCCGUGCCAGCAGCCGCGGUAAUACGGAGGAUCCGAGGGUUAUCCGGAUUUAUUGGGUUUAAAGGGAGCGUAGGUGGAUGGUUAAGUCAGUUGUGAAAGUUUGCGGCUCAACCGUAAAAUUGCAUUUGAAACUGGCAGUCUUGAGUACAGUAGAGGUGGGCGGAAUUCGUGGUGUAGCGGUGAAAUGCUUAGAUAUCACGAAGAACUCCGAUUGCGAAGGCAGUUCACUGGACUGCAACUGACACUGAGGCUCGAAAGUGUGGGUAUCAAACAGGAUUAGAUACCCCUGUAGUC